GAUGAACGCUAGCGGCAGGCCUAACACAUGCAAGUCGAGGGGUAGUUGUGUUCGGACAAUGAGACCGGCGCACGGGUGCGUAACGCGUAUGCAAUCUACCUUAUACUAAGGGAUAGCGCAGAGAAAUUUGGUUUAAUACCUUAUAGUUAAUAGAGUUGGCAUCGAAUUUAUUUUAGAGAUUAAUUGGUAUAAGAUGAGCAUGCGUACCAUUAGUUAGUUGGUAAGGUAACGGCUUACCAAGACGAUGAUGGGUAGGGGUCCUGAGAGGGGGAUCCCCCACACUGGUACUGAGACACCGACCAGACUCCUACGAGAGGCAGCAGUGAGGAAUAUUGGUCAAUGGGCGCAAGCCUGAACCAGCCAGGCCGCGUGCAGGAUGAAGCAUCUAUGGUGUGUAAACUGCUUUUGUACGGGAAGAAAAAAAGCUACGUGUAGCUUACUGACGGUACCGUAAGAAUAAGGAUCGGCUAACUCCGUGCCAGCCGCCGCAGUAA
RNAcentral lists this ribosomal RNA (494 nucleotides) under uncultured bacterium. RNAcentral describes it as "partial 16S ribosomal RNA". It matches the Rfam family "Bacterial small subunit ribosomal RNA", at positions 28 to 523 of the family's 1533-position model. The record is from RNAcentral.